RNAcentral lists this non-coding RNA (194 nucleotides) under Devosia soli. The record is from RNAcentral. Lineage: Bacteria; Pseudomonadati; Pseudomonadota; Alphaproteobacteria; Hyphomicrobiales; Devosiaceae.
CAUCCUCGUCUCGUUCAAGGUCCCCGCAAGGGGAUAACAGGGAAUCCGGUGCGGCUGCGGCUCAAGUCCGGAGCUGCCCCCGCAACUGUCGGCGGAAACGGAUGUUCAUGGGUCCACUGGCGUCAGCAUGCCGGGAAGGCGAGCAUCCGGUUCGAUCCGCGAGCCAGGAGACCUACCUUGGGCGGUGUAUUCAC